GCAGUGCUCUCUAUCCCACAGCCAAGAUGAGUUGCUGCACAAGUGUAGGCCAAAGCCUGAGGACCACAGCGCUCUGUCUUGACCCUGCUGCCAAAGGGGAUCAGCAGACCGGGCCACCCUGCUCUGGACUCUGGGUGCUUCACCUCCGUGACCCUGCUUCUUAGUUUAAUCAUCUGUCAGAUGAGCCCUUUGCACUGCAAGAUUGCUUAGCAGGUUUGGCCUCCUGAACAGGUACGGGGAGAAGGAAGAAGAUGGGGCCUGUUCCACCAGAAAGGUGGACCAAUCCAGGUGACUGUGGAAAGGAUGUGGACUAUACACCCGUACUAACUUCCUUACUCCCUGUGACCCUGCAAAAAAGAAGAGAACCCCACGCACUUCGAAGGAGCCAGGACCCCAACAGACUUAAAGACCAUGAGUGAAGCUGGGUGGCAAAAACUCCAUUCCUCCUUUGA
RNAcentral lists this long non-coding RNA (452 nucleotides) under Rattus norvegicus (Norway rat). RNAcentral's name for it is "long non-coding RNA NONRATT026354". Lineage: Eukaryota; Metazoa; Chordata; Mammalia; Rodentia; Muridae. The record is from RNAcentral.